RNAcentral lists this transfer RNA (74 nucleotides) under Bacillota bacterium. Its description in RNAcentral is "tRNA-Trp". It matches the Rfam family "tRNA". Rfam says of the family: Transfer RNA (tRNA) molecules are approximately 80 nucleotides in length. RNAcentral also lists the same sequence under 1 other name. Lineage: Bacteria; Bacillati; Bacillota. The record is from RNAcentral.
AGGGGAUUAGUUAAAUGGUAUAAUAAUGGUCUCCAAAACCACUGUUGCGAGUUCGAUUCUUGCAUCCCCUGCCA